This 213-nucleotide unclassified non-coding RNA is filed under the name Hevea brasiliensis (rubber tree). The record is from RNAcentral. Lineage: Eukaryota; Viridiplantae; Streptophyta; Magnoliopsida; Malpighiales; Euphorbiaceae.
ACACCUUUUGAACUGGGCACGGUGCCGAGACGGCGUGGAUCAUACUCUGUUGCUUGUCUAAGGGCCCUGGCAAAGGCUUUGAACGUGGCUUCAAUAAUAUGAUGAGAAUUCUUUCCAGCAAGCUGUCGAAUGUGAAGAGUCAUACCAGAAGUAUUCACCAGAGACUGGAAGAAAUGCUCCACCAACUGGGUGUCAUAUGUUCCAACUCUCUGA